This 331-nucleotide unclassified non-coding RNA is filed under the name soil metagenome. Its description in RNAcentral is "partial contains 5.8S ribosomal RNA, internal transcribed spacer 2, and large subunit ribosomal RNA". The stretch from base 1 to 120 matches the Rfam family "5.8S ribosomal RNA", at positions 35 to 154 of the family's 154-position model. The record is from RNAcentral.
GAUGAAGAACGUAGCGAAAUGCGAUAACUAAUGUGAAUUGCAGAAUUCAGUGAAUCAUCGAAUCUUUGAACGCACAUUGCGCCCCCUGGUAUUCCGGGGGGCAUGCCUGUUCGAGCGUCAUUUCACCACUCAAGCCUCGCUUGGUAUUGGGCAACGCGGUCCGCCGCGUGCCUCAAAUCGACCGGCUGGGUCUUCUGUCCCCUAAGCGUUGUGGAAACUAUUCGCUAAAGGGUGUUCGGGAGGCUACGCCGUAAAACAACCCCAUUUCUAAGGUUGACCUCGGAUCAGGUAGGGAUACCCGCUGAACUUAAGCAUAUCAAUAAGCGGAGGA